This 497-nucleotide ribosomal RNA is filed under the name uncultured bacterium. RNAcentral describes it as "partial 16S ribosomal RNA". It matches the Rfam family "Bacterial small subunit ribosomal RNA", at positions 28 to 507 of the family's 1533-position model. The record is from RNAcentral.
GAUGAACGCUGGCGGCGUGCCUAAUACAUGCAAGUCGAGCGAACAGACGAGGAGCUUGCUCCUCUGACGUUAGCGGCGGACGGGUGAGUAACACGUGGAUAACCUACCUAUAAGACUGUGAUAACUUCGGGAAACCGGAGCUAAUACCGGAUAAUAUAUUGAACCGCAUGGUUCAAUAGUGAAAGACGGUUUUGCUGUCACUUAUAGAUGGAUCCGCGCCGCAUUAGCUAGUUGGUAAGGUAACGGCUUACCAAGGCAACGAUGCGUAGCCGACCUGAGAGGGUGAUCGGCCACACUGGAACUGAGACACGGUCAAGACUCCUAAGGGAGGCAGCAGUAGGGAAUCUUCCGCAAUGGGCGAAAGCCUGACGGAGCAACGCCGCGUGAGUGAUGAAGGUCUUCGGAUCGUAAAACUCUGUUAUUAGGGAAGAACAAAUGUGUAAGUAACUAUGCACGUCUUGACGGUACCUAAUCAGAAAGCCACGGCUAACUACGUG